RNAcentral lists this ribosomal RNA (253 nucleotides) under uncultured bacterium. Its description in RNAcentral is "partial 16S ribosomal RNA". It matches the Rfam family "Bacterial small subunit ribosomal RNA", at positions 524 to 776 of the family's 1533-position model. The record is from RNAcentral.
UACAGAGGUCCCAAGCGUUGUUCGGAUUCACUGGGCGUAAAGGGUGCGUAGGUGGCGGGGUAAGUCUGAUGUGAAAGCCCUGGGCUCAACCUGGGAAUGGCAUUGGAUACUGGCGGACUGGAGUGCGGUAGAGGAUGGCGGAAUUCCCGGUGUAGCAGUGAAAUGCGUAGAGAUCGGGAGGAACAUCUGUGGCGAAGGCGGCCAUCUGGACCAGCACUGACACUGAGGCACGAAAGCCGGGGGAGCAAACAGG